AGAGAGGUUUUUCACACACACCAAGUUCCGUCAAUCUUUAAUUUUUCUACGAGUGGUGAAGCUGCUAGACCGACAAUGAACAACAAAUCUGCCAUUCUUGUUUUCUGUUUCGUUGUUUUCAUGGCACUGGCUAGCCAAAGUGAUGCAGCAUUCGGAUAUAUUCCUUCGGGAAACGGAAAGAAGAGAGAUGUGAAGGAACUAAGUGAUUCGGCCAAGUUUCAAGAAGACUAUGCAAGAUACAUUUGUACCGCAGCGAGAAACAUCGGCUGCUGCAGCAAGCGAGCGACGAACGAUGAAGCAUAGGGAAAUGACAUGCACUAGAAAUUGAAUUUGGCCUUCAUGUUAAAUGCUAUGAUAGAAAAAUAUCAUUUUAAUAGGAUGCAAUUAAUAAACCUAAUUUAAACGUG
This is a long non-coding RNA of Actinia tenebrosa (Australian red waratah sea anemone), 407 nucleotides long. RefSeq lists it as uncharacterized. Lineage: Eukaryota; Metazoa; Cnidaria; Anthozoa; Actiniaria; Actiniidae. The record is from RefSeq and is a predicted model, not a curated record.